UACGGGGGGGGCAAGCGUUGUUCGGAAUUACUGGGCGUAAAGGGUUCGUAGGUGGCGUGCUAAGUCAGACGUGAAAUCCCUCAGCUUAACUGGGGAACUGCGUCUGAGACUGGCAGGCUCGAGUGCAGGAGAGGAACGCGGAAUUCCAGGUGUAGCGGUGAAAUGCGUAGAUAUCUGGAGGAACACCGGUGGCGAAGGCGGCGUUCUGGACUGCAACUGACACUGAUGAACGAAAGCCAGGGGAGCAAACGGG
Molecule: ribosomal RNA, 253 nt
Filed under: uncultured bacterium
Lineage: Bacteria
Description: partial 16S ribosomal RNA
Rfam family: Bacterial small subunit ribosomal RNA
Source: RNAcentral